Molecule: ribosomal RNA, 232 nt
Filed under: uncultured bacterium
Lineage: Bacteria
Description: partial 16S ribosomal RNA
Rfam family: Bacterial small subunit ribosomal RNA
Source: RNAcentral
UGAGCAAUCUGCCCUUCUCAUCGGAAUAAGCGUUGGAAACGACGUCUAAUGCCGAAUACGACCUCCUUUCGCAUGAUCGGAGGUGGAAAGCUCCGGCGGAGAAGGAUGAGCUCGCGGCCUAUCAGCUAGUUGGUGUGGUAAUGGCCCACCAAGGCGACGGACGGGUAGCCGGCCUGAGAGGGUGACCGGCCACACUGGGACUGAGACACGGCCCAGACUCCGUACGGGAGCA